Molecule: long non-coding RNA, 875 nt
Filed under: Oreochromis niloticus (Nile tilapia)
Lineage: Eukaryota; Metazoa; Chordata; Actinopteri; Cichliformes; Cichlidae
Description: lncRNA (ENSONIG00000038983.1)
Source: RNAcentral
ACAUUUGUUAUGACUGGGAUUUUGGGGUGGCGCUCCGAUAUGCAUCCAGGGAAUUGUAAUUACACCAAAAUGGAUGGUUUUUUUGCUUCUUUUUCUAUUCUAAGGAUUUUUAAGAUGGAAUAUCUGAAAAAUUUAUCUUGACGUUGAUCUCGUAGACGUUUCGCAGAAGAGAGACUUUACUGCUCCUCUUGUCUUUUGGUUUGUUCAACAGGAAGGUCAGAGAGUGAGAUGCAGAGCGGUGCGCUUGCUGCCUCCUUGUGUUGCUCAACGCUCCAACAGAGCUUCCUGUGCGCGCCGUUUUCCGCUCAGGGGGACACUCGGUCUGGAUUCAGUCAGCGUGGCGGCGUUUCUUCUCUUACAAAAUUAAAUAUGUGUAAUUGAUGGUUUCAUAAACAGAGCUAACCUUGCCAGCAGCAAUCGGGAGCUGCCGUGAGGAGGUUCACGUGAAUAUGUAUUGUGUCAGAGAGGAGCCAGCAACUGCAUCCACAGGUCCGCAGGUUCUUCGCUCACAAUGAGACAGAGGGGAGGCGGGGGGAAGAGAUGCACGCUGCGAGAUAUCGACUGCAGCAGUCUUCUCGCCUCGUAACACAUGACAUAAUGUCUCCUGCAGACAGCCUCAGACAGCGUUGUUCUGAGACAACAACAUUUUCCAAGGAGCUCCCAACAGUAGUUCAACAAAUGCCGACCGCCAUGAUGUGACGCAGUCAUGUGGGAGCGUCUAGCAGACCAAAAAUAAAGUGGGUGAGGGCGUGGAACACAUAGUUACUUUGUUUCCAUAAAUGAUCCAUCUGUUGACAUGCACUUACAAUCCAAUUUACAAUGUUUUGUGGCCAUCUUGGUUAUGGGCCAUCUGCAUACCUCACUUUUAGAAACAC